CCUACGGGUGGCAGCAGUGAGGAAUAUUGGUCAAUGGGCGCGAGACUGAACCAGCCAAGCCGCGUGAAGGAUGACUGCCCAACGGGUUGUAAACUUCUUUUAUAAAGGAAUAAAGUGAGGCACGUGUGCCUUUUUGUAUGUACUUUAUGAAUAAGGAUCGGCUAACUCCGUGCCAGCAGCCGCGGUAAUACGGAGGAUCCGAGCGUUAUCCGGAUUUAUUGGGUUUAAAGGGAGCGUAGACGGGUUGUUAAGUCAGGUGUGAAAGUGUUGGGCUCAACCGUAAAAUUGCAAUUGAGACUGGCAGUCUUGAGUACAUGUGAGGUAGGCGGAAUUCGUGGUGUAGCGGUGAAAUGCUUAGAUAUCGCGAAGAACUCCGAUUGCGAAGGCAGCUUACUAAACUGCCACUGACAUUGAGGCUCGAAAGUGUGGGUAUCAAACAGGAUUAGAUACCCGAGUAGUC
This 460-nucleotide ribosomal RNA is filed under the name uncultured bacterium. RNAcentral describes it as "partial 16S ribosomal RNA". It matches the Rfam family "Bacterial small subunit ribosomal RNA", at positions 338 to 795 of the family's 1533-position model. The record is from RNAcentral.